This 457-nucleotide ribosomal RNA is filed under the name uncultured bacterium. RNAcentral's name for it is "partial 16S ribosomal RNA". It matches the Rfam family "Bacterial small subunit ribosomal RNA", at positions 338 to 795 of the family's 1533-position model. The record is from RNAcentral.
CCUACGGGAGGCAGCAGUGGGGAAUAUUGCACAAUGGGGGAAACCCUGAUGCAGCGACGCCGCGUGAGUGAAGAAGUAAUUCGUUACGUAAAGCUCUAUCAGCAGGGAAGAAACACUGACCUUACGGUCAGCAGACGGUACCUGAGUAAGAAGCCCCGGCUAACUACGUGCCAGCAGCCGCGGUAAUACGUAGGGAGCGAGCGUUGUCCGGAAUUACUGGGUGAAAAGGGAGCGUAGGCGGGGAUGCAAGUUGGGUGUCAAAACUACCGGCUCAACUGGUAGUCGAACUCAAAGCUGCAGUGUGUGAGUGAAGUAGAGGCAGGCGGAAUUCCGAGUGUAGCGGUGAAAGGCGUAGAUAUUAGGAGGAACACCAGUGGCGAAGGCGGCCUGCUGGGCUUUUACUGACGCUGAGGCUCGAAAGUGUGGGGAGCAAACAGGAUUAGAUACCCUGGUAGUC